GAUAUCUUAUUCCGUGGGUCCAACGAACGAGAGUCGGUAUCACGCAAUAAGUUAUUAUUACAAAAUCUCAUGAUAAUACGAUAGGAAGCUUUCACGCACAUUCAAAUUUCUAACUUCAAAGUUUACAUGUACUUACUGCGUUGAUACACGGCAUAUUCGGGUUCUCGAGUCUCGGCAGUCAGCAAAUACUUCAAAAUAUCAAAUACUGUAAGUAUGACAUUUAUAGUAUUGGACUACAUAUCAUCAAAUAGGUACGGAGUCACAGGGCUUUCUUCACCGGCAUUUCAGAUUGGACUGAGUACCUCUUAAACUCCCAAAUCGUUUAAAAAAAAUUCUGUCAAUCACACUCGUUGACAAUGCAAUCCAAAUAUAAGUUGACCAAAUCAAUUGUGAGGUGGUUAUGUACCUGUCAUUGUUCCUGCAUAAACACUACCACUUCGAGGAUACUUGAAACGUGACAAAUAUAAUGAAACUGUAAACUGGUAGCUUGCUACGCUGAAAUUCACUAGCCAAGCGAAAUACAGAAAAAACGAGUAUGACCUCAACAGAGUACAAAUUUUAAGAUUUCCAUCCUAUGGGGAACCUAAACAAUUAUAACAUGUCAUUUUCUUGGAGAGCAAUGGAGGAUGAUAGGUAGUGCCAAAUGCAUUGCUCGUAACAUUAAGUUGUGUCCAAGAUUCAGAAGAGACAUGCAAAAACACUUAAGUAAAAUAUGUACCGACUUCACCAGAAUUGUAACUAUGAACCAACAAAGUUGUAGACUGUCCUCUACGUGGAAAUUUCACUCAGAAGUGCCAUAACAAUGACCACAACUGUUGAUUGAACAUAAUUGUGUAAUUCUGGAUUGCUGUCAAUACCCAUCAUUACGGAAAAAAAAACCAUCAACCAACACAAUUAUUCAUAAAAUUGUUUAUCUGCUAAUAGUAUAUCAUAUGAAUCCAAUAAAAACAAAAUGAGCCCUUUAAAGGCUUCCACUGAAAAAAAGUUUCCCACUAUUUUCCCACAGAGUAAUCAAAAUAACGUAUAUAAAUACAAAAUAUGUGAAACCAGUAUAGGUAUACUGUAUCCAUGACAAAAUACAUAGGUAUGUCAAAAGCAAAAAUACAAAUUUGAAUCUUAUAUGCGCAUCUCCACUUUUUUUUAUUUUUUAUAAGUUCUAUGAUCUUGAUGCUUUAAUAUAAUAUGAGACCAGUGAAAGGCAGAACUCAACAUGAGGUAGAAAGUGAGGGAUAUGGGUAUUACAAUGUUGCUGACAUACCUACAUACUUUGUCAUGACUAUAUAGUAAUAACUUAUAAGUAAAUAAUACUAAAUACUAAAUAAUAAUUUAUGAUAGUAAUAUAAUUGCAUAAUCACCAAACAUAAUAUAUAAUGCAUAGUUGAAUAGAUAAUGAACAUUAAACGGUACAGUUUAGGGUAACCAUUAUUAAGAUAAGAAAAAUAUAAUUAAUUUACCCAGUAUCCAAGUAUCCCAUACACCAGCAGUUCUUAAACUGUGUUUCACGGCCUCCUCGGGAUCUGCAACAGUGCGAUACUCAUCGUCUUUUCUGUCAUACACACACAAUAUACGCACAUAUUAAUUAUUAUUAUUAUUUAUUUUUAUUAAAUUAUAGGUAUUUUUGGAUUGUUUGUAAUGAAGAAAAGAAACUUUUGUAAAAAUAUGUGCAAAUGUUACUAAGAAAUUAAAUUUUUUAUUUUUUUCUCAUAAAUUCGGGGCACCGUGGCUUUAAAGAUAUUUUACUAGGACUGCGUGGCAAAAAAGUAAAGAACUGCUGUCAUACACGUUUGUAUACUCAUUGGCGUCACUAGAAUCACAAUAAAAAGAACUAUCCAUAAAAAAUUGCCUUCUGUUUAAUUUUUCAAACGUGAAAAUAAAUAUAUUUUGUAUUUAAUUAGCUUAUUUAAAGUCUUAACUGAACUUGAUUAUAUUAUUAGAAUAUGUUAUACAUUUUAACAAUCAAAAAUUGUUUUGACUGAUAUUUUUACUUCAUACUGUAAGUUACAUCUUACAACUAUAAAAACAAAUCAAUUUCUUGAAUAAUAAAUUUUAAAUAUAAUUUUGUGCUAGCAAAAGUACCACUCAAAUAUCCCUUAAUGACGCCUAUGUGUAUACUCAUUUUUAAUAAAUAGUUAGUAUCUAAUAUAUUUUCGGAUAAAAAAUAAUAAUGUUGUUAUUAAAAAGUGAUAGUAACUUGAAACUUAGUUUACAUUUUAGAUUCUGAGCUAUGAAUGUAUUGAUUUUAAAAUGUGUGUUUUUUAAAUUUAUUUUCAAUUUUUUUGUGUCCGUCAUUACUUUUUGGGACAGUAAAACUGCUUUAGUUUUCUUCAAGGGUAUCUUGUUCGAUGGGAAAAUGAAUCUAGUUUUUUUGAGCUGUUUGCUGAAGUUUUCAGUUUUCAAUUUUUAUAGUUUUUUUUCUAUAAAUAUCAAUACAAUAUUUGUUGGGUAAAAAAGCGUGAAAAUUUAAUGCAAGGCUCCUGAUAAAUUGUUUCAAUAGCCCUUGAAAAUUAUUAUAAAUACAUAGGCACAUUUUUUUUUUAUAAACAUUAAAAGAUUGAAUUUUGACAAAAUCUAUCAAAUUUAAAAUAUUAAAAUGAUUUUAUAGUAUAAAAUGUUCAACUUUUAUAGGAUUGAAAAUUUAAAACAAGGUUCCACGUAAAUAUGUAAAUAAAUUACUUUAUUCAUAAUAAUAUCAUAAAAUAUACUUAGUAAUAUACCUAUUAUACCUAUAAUAGACUGAUUGACUGCCUUCUCUCAGAAUCAUUUUUCGUAUACAAUGAUAUUAUAUCAUUGAAUUCAAAUUUAACCCCAUCCAUUACAGUGAUUCACUUGUCACCUACUGUACAGCAGAGCGACACCCACUUGCCCACCAUUUUUUUUGUCUAUGUAAAUUAACUUAAAAAUAUCAGCUUAUAAGACAACAAAGGUUGGCAAGUGAUUACUGCUCUGUUUUACAUUAGGUGUCAUAUGAGCCAUAAUGGAUGUGUUAAAUUUAAAUUCAAAGUAAUACUAACACAGUAGGUAGGUGAAAUUAAUUUUUGUCAGAAACAUUGCAUUUUAAAAUGUUAUUGUGUAUAUAUAAAAUAUAAUAAAUACGAUAAUAUUCUUUAAAAAUAUCAUGUACCCUCUAAUAAUAUUUUUAAAUUAGAACGAUAUAACUAAAAUUGUUAAUCUAUGUUGAAAUAUCUAAUUUCUUCAAAAUUUAAACUUAAAAUAUCUAUUAUAAAAACUGUGCUUAUACAUUUUUUAUUUUUGUUGGUCACGGAAUGAAGAAUUAACGAGUUAAAAUUUAAAAUUAAGUUAAAACGUUAAGUUAAUUAACUUGUUACUUUUUUUUCAAAUUAACUUUUAACUUAAUAAGUUACUUUUUUUCAAGAUUAACGUGUUAACUUCAAGUUAAUUUUAUUUCAAAAGUAUCUAAAUUAAGUCAAUUUUCGUCCGAAGAAUAAUGCAAAUGAUUGAAUGAAUUUUUACUUUGAUGUAUUAUUUUAAAUUUCCCCAGGCAUAAGCGACACUUUAUGAAAUCUACUUUUUGUAAUUAGAGCAUAAGCGACGUCAUUCUCUAUCGAUUGCUCUUACUCAAUUAUCUACACAAUUAUUUUUUUACGAUAUAAAACGAAAAUUUAGAUUUAGACAUAGGUACUUGCCAAAAAGUGUAUUAUAAAAUUAGUAAAAUUAAUUAUCAGGUAUGUGUAUAAAUGGGAAAUAAGCAAUAUUUAGUUUCAAAUGUUAGCAUAAGCGCCAUAGGAUUUUACUUUAUAAAAAAACCUAUUUUUUGUUAUCCGUUCGGUGGACCAUACAUAAUAAUAAUAAUAAAAUAAUAGGUACGUCGUAAUUUUAAAAUGCAAUAUCCUAUGAAGUUAUUAACAUUUUAUUCCAAAGAGAAUAUUUAUAUCUACCCACAUAAUUUAUUUAUGAUUAAUGAUUAUAAAUUGUAAUAUUAUUAUUAAUGAAAAUUAACUAUGAUAGGCUAUUUGUUUUUUUUUAUAAUCUAUACUAUUAUAUAAAGAGGAGUUGUUAGUUGACGUUGUUGAGGGUAAUCAGCUCUGGAAUUACUGAACCGAUUUCGAAAAUUCUUUCACCAAUAGAAAGCCACAUUCUUCAUGAGUGUCAUAGGCUAAUUUAAAAAGAGAAUUGAUCACCCCCGGUAGGUGCUCAACGGGAAUUUUAAGAUUUACGAUAGAAUUUUUUGUUAAUUAAUGUUUGCUAUGGGUUAUAGGAGUUGAGAAUAAUAUUUAUUUAUUAUUAUUAUUAUUUUAAUUUGAAUAUUAAAAGAGCGUCUCAUUCGUCUCAUUCGUUUUAAUCAGUCGAAGUUACGAUCAGACGAGUACAUCCAUUUGCGUGACGCCAUCGCUACUGAAGGAGACGCGGCCAACAUUGGUCGUUUGACCAUUCUCUCAGCUACUCGUGUUGGAAGCCCACACAUGAUGCAUUCAAUCGCGAAUUGCAACGGGAGCAAGACUAUGAUCGAGAUGAGCUGGCUGAAAGAGUCGAACAAAUGUGCCGAAAAAAAGAGCCAAACACCAUCUUCCUCUUUUGUUUAACAUAAUCACAAAUCAGUGGAAAACUGUACAAAUAAUUAUACCACUAGUUAUGGUGAAACUUAUUUACUCGAUGAUGGUCGCAUAUUUGAUCUUGGUGGUAUUAAGAAUAAUUCUCAAUAUUUUCUUAAAUCCGGUCAUAUUUUUCACUCAAAUCAUCACCGAGUUAGUUUAUAAGUUUCACCAUAACUAUUUGGUGGUAUAAUUAUUAUCGGUAUAGAUUUCCACUGAUUUGUGAUUAUGUUAAACAAAAGAGCAAGAUGGUGUUGGCUCUUUUGCUUAUAAUUAAAACAUACUGCAACAAGUAAAAUUUGGUGCUUCUAACUCAGUACCAAGGACUGUAUGAACAGCAUAAGCUUCAUCUAAAUAUUUUCUACCUACCAAUAUAAUAUAUUUUGAAAAAAUAAGAAAAUCAAAUACAAAAAUAUUAUAUAAUAUUAUACAACUAGCUGACCCGGCAAACGUUGUUUUGCCAUAUAAAUUAUUUCUAAUGAAUAUUUUUGUAGUCAAAUAAAAAAUAACUAAAUUAUUGUAAUUGUGUGUUGAUGACGUGUUAUACUGGUAUAUGGCUGAAAGAGGAAUGGAGCAAUGUGAACAAUAACAAAACACCAAAUAUUCAUUUUUUUGAACUCAUUGUACUUUUAUUAUCUUGACUGAUAAAUUUCAAAUUACAUCUCUAUCACACAUUAAGAAAAUUAAAAAAACACUAUCUGCAGUCUCUUAGUGCAAUGGAAUGUACGAUAUUUUCAGUGUGUUCAUCGGCUAUAUUAUCCGUUAAGUAAUGGGAACGGCAAAUAAAAUAAUAAAAAAAAUAUUACACUGUUCACUAAUGAUAAUACAUUAAUACCUUUAUUAUAAGGAAAACCGUAUCUAUAUAUAUAUAUAUAUAUAUAUAUAUAUGAGAGUCGAGCAUGUCCUCACCGAUGGCUGGCUGAAACGCAAGUUGGCUAAGUAUAAUAUUAUACAUUAAUAAUAAAACAAAAUAAUCACGUGAAAGGUAGACUAUACGUCAUGUACAGUUGUACAAAUUACAGAUAUCUAAUAAGGUAGGUACCAAACGUAUACAGUACAGACGUAAAGUGUCAUUCAUAUGUGUGUAUGUCACAGAUAUAACUAUAUAUAUAUAUUUUGAUUUAUCGGUAGGUACCUAUAAUGUGUUGAAAAUUAAUUUCCAACAAACUAUGUCGUAUAGCCUACAGAAAAUUACCUGUGACUAGUAAACUUACCGGAAUUUGUAUCUGUAAAAUAAUUAUUAAAUUAAGUAGGUAUAUUAAAUAUUAAAAUAAUACUUUAUUUAAUAUUACACAUUAAUGGUGUUGAUAAAAA
Long non-coding RNA from Metopolophium dirhodum (rose-grain aphid), 5864 nucleotides. RefSeq lists it as uncharacterized. The transcript has 6 exons. Lineage: Eukaryota; Metazoa; Arthropoda; Insecta; Hemiptera; Aphididae. The record is from RefSeq and is a predicted model, not a curated record.